UUUUGGGAUUUUUAUAGGGAUAUUUUGGGCUUUGCAGGUAAAAGGUAUUUGAUUCGGUAAUUAAUUUAGAUACUAGGGUUAUUUGAUGGUCUCAAGUAAAGGCCUUUUGGGUUUUUAGUUGUUUUAACUUGUCUUCUAUCAAUCACCUGUGGUCUCCUUUCCCUCUCAUGUUCAGGUUCCAUAGGCUUCUUGAAGCACCUAGCUUUGGCUUACCAUAGAAGAUUAAAGAUAUUUUCUAAGAAAAAUUCGGAUAAUUCUAGAGAAGAGAAAAAAAGAAGAAAAGAAAGAGAGGAAUUAGAUCACUUUAUCACUCCAUUUCUGUUGGAAUCAAGAAAAAGUGAGGCAGCAAAAAAAUUUCAGAUCUUCGACAAGAUUCGGGUCAAGGCCUUGACUAAGGGAAUUGUGGCUUUUGGACAUUUGUACCUAUGUCGGAAGGACUUUUGGUUUUUGGCUUCAAAAGAAUCAGCUUUGUUGGUUUUUCAUUGAAAAUGACCUGUUUAUCAUAUUAUUUUAAUGUCAUUUAUUUAUUUAUAAAACAACUUAAAAAUAUUUUUUCUAACUUUCAACAUUGGAUGCAUAAGAAGCAAGUGUGCUUAAAGAGCUUAAGUUAGGAAUGUCAACCAAAUUAUUGUCAUGGUAAUCAUUAUUACAACACUAACAUUCAUAUUUAAAUUGAUUAUUUAUAUAUACA
RNAcentral lists this small RNA (691 nucleotides) under Theobroma cacao (cacao). Its description in RNAcentral is "sRNA Tc01v2_g016840". The record is from RNAcentral. Lineage: Eukaryota; Viridiplantae; Streptophyta; Magnoliopsida; Malvales; Malvaceae.